This 253-nucleotide ribosomal RNA is filed under the name uncultured bacterium. RNAcentral's name for it is "partial 16S ribosomal RNA". It matches the Rfam family "Bacterial small subunit ribosomal RNA", at positions 524 to 776 of the family's 1533-position model. The record is from RNAcentral.
UAGGCAGGGGGCUAGCGUUGUUCGGAAUUACUGGGCGUAAAGCGCACGUAGGCGGACUCUUAAGUCAGGGGUGAAAUCCCGGGGCUCAACCUCGGAACUGCCUUUGAUACUGUGAGUCUCGAGACCGGAAGAGGUGAGUGGAAUUCCUAGUGUAGAGGUGAAAUUCGUAGAUAUUAGGAAGAGCACCAGUGGCGAAGGCGGCUCACUGGUCCGGUUCUGACGCUGAGGCGCGAAAGCGUGGGGAGCGAACAGG